This 253-nucleotide ribosomal RNA is filed under the name uncultured bacterium. RNAcentral describes it as "partial 16S ribosomal RNA". It matches the Rfam family "Bacterial small subunit ribosomal RNA", at positions 524 to 776 of the family's 1533-position model. The record is from RNAcentral.
UACGGGGGGGGCAAGCGUUGUUCGGAAUUACUGGGCGUAAAGGGUUUGUAGGUGGUCUGUUAAGUCAGACGUGAAAUCCCUCAGCUUAACUGGGGAACUGCGUCUGAGACUGAUGGACUUGAGGGCAGGAGAGGAACGCGGAAUUCCAGGUGUAGCGGCGAAAUGCGUAGAUAUCUGGAGGAACACCGGUGGCGAAGGCGGCGUUCUGGACUGUUUCUGACACUGUAAAACGAAAGCCAGGGGAGCAAACGGG